This is a non-coding RNA of Oryctolagus cuniculus (rabbit), 73 nucleotides long. Lineage: Eukaryota; Metazoa; Chordata; Mammalia; Lagomorpha; Leporidae. The record is from the annotation of a RefSeq genome assembly.
GUUCCUGUGGUGUAGUGGUCAUCACACUCACCUAACACGUGAGAGGUCCUCAGUUCAAAACCGGGUGGGAACA